UCUAAUGAAGAAGAGAAACAAGGGGGAAUUGAGUAUUGGGAAGGACCUCUGAGGUCUUUGUAUGCAGCUCAUUCAACCUGCAGGCUUGAACAUAGCCGUGGUAGUGACCUGCCCUGGAUCUUGUGCACAAGGGUACCCGUCCCCCUACACAGGGAUGGGGAGCAGCAAGGAGGCUGAGUAGCUGACUUCGGCUGUCCUGUGAAGGGAAUAACAUCCCUAUGUCUUACGGGACCUUCCUGACAUAGGAAUCGAAACUGAGUCUCUUGUGUCUCCUGUACUGGCUGGCAGACUCUCAACCCCUGGGCCACCUAGGAAGCCCAAGGUGUUCACCCUGUAUCCCAGCUGAUACCAGCAGGCUACUGUUACAGCUGUUUCACAGAUGAGAAACCAGUGCUCAAGCAGAAUGACUUCCAUGCAAUCGCAGCCAAGGAUGGACCAGAGCUGCCUGGCUCCUCGCCUACUUUCUUUCCCGUAUACCGUUCUGUCCCAGAUAAACUUCAGGUGAUGUGUGCACGUCUGUGACUCUGUUCACAUGUGUGUUGUGUGUGUGUACAUCAAUUGAGAUUCUUUGUUGAAUCAAUU
This is a non-coding RNA of Odocoileus virginianus texanus, 582 nucleotides long. Lineage: Eukaryota; Metazoa; Chordata; Mammalia; Artiodactyla; Cervidae. The record is from RefSeq and is a predicted model, not a curated record.